Molecule: ribosomal RNA, 468 nt
Filed under: uncultured bacterium
Lineage: Bacteria
Description: partial 16S ribosomal RNA
Rfam family: Bacterial small subunit ribosomal RNA
Source: RNAcentral
GACGAACGCUGGCGGCGUGCUUAACACAUGCAAGUCGAACGGAAAGGCCCUGCUUUUGUGGGGUGCUCGAGUGGCGAACGGGUGAGUAACACGUGAGUAACCUGCCCUUGACUUUGGGAUAACUUCAGGAAACUGGGGCUAAUACCGGAUAGGAGCUCCUGCUGCAUGGUGGGGGUUGGACAGUUUCGGCGGUUAGGGAUGGACUCGCGGCUUAUCAGCUUGUUGGUGGGGUAGUGGCUUACCAAGGCUUUGACGGAUAGCCGGCCUGAGAGGGUGGCCGGGGACAAGAGGACUGAGAGACGGCGCAGACUCCAACGGGAGGCAGCAGUGGAGAAUAUUGCACAAUGGGCGGAAGCCUGAGGCGGCAACGCCGCGUGCGGGAUGACGGCCUUCGGGGUGUAAACCGCUGUCGCCUGUGACGAAGCGUGAGUGACGGUAAUGGGUAAAGAAGCACCGGCUAACUACGUG